RNAcentral lists this ribosomal RNA (429 nucleotides) under uncultured bacterium. Its description in RNAcentral is "bacterial SSU rRNA". It matches the Rfam family "Bacterial small subunit ribosomal RNA", at positions 355 to 776 of the family's 1533-position model. The record is from RNAcentral.
UGGGGAAUAUUGCACAAUGGGGGAAACCCUGAUGCAGCCAUGCCGCGUGUGUGAAGAAGGCCUUCGGGUUGUAAAGCACUUUCAGCGAGGAGGAAAGGGUGGCAGCUAAUACCUGUCAUCUGUGACGUUACUCGCAGAAGAAGCACCGGCUAACUCCGUGCCAGCAGCCGCGGUAAUACGGAGGGUGCAAGCGUUAAUCGGAAUAACUGGGCGUAAAGCGCACGCAGGCGGUUAGAUAAGUCAGAUGUGAAAGCCCCGGGCUCAACCUGGGAACUGCAUUUGAAACUGUCUGACUAGAGUCUUGUAGAGGGGGGUAGAAUUCCAGGUGUAGCGGUGAAAUGCGUAGAGAUCUGGAGGAAUACCGGUGGCGAAGGCGGCCCCCUGGACAGAGACUGACGCUCAGGUGCGAAAGCGUGGGGAGCAAACAGG